This 2124-nucleotide ribosomal RNA is filed under the name Candidatus Magasanikiibacteriota bacterium. RNAcentral's name for it is "partial 23S ribosomal RNA". It matches the Rfam family "Bacterial large subunit ribosomal RNA", at positions 1 to 2007 of the family's 2925-position model. Lineage: Bacteria; Candidatus Magasanikiibacteriota. The record is from RNAcentral.
GCGCAAUUUAAUAAGGGCGUACGGUGAAUGCCUUGACACCAAAAGACGAUGAAGGACGUAGUAGUCUGCGAUAAGCCCCGGGAAGGUGACAAACAACCGUUGAUCCGAGGAUUUCCGAAUGGGGGAACCCUGCCGAUGUAAUGAUCGGCAAUCAUCCACUGAAUACAUAGGUGUAUGAAGAAGACCUAGCGAAGUGAAACAUCUCAGUAGCUAGAGGAAAAGAAAACACAUGAUGCUUCUUUUACCUUCCUUAUCUUAGAACUCCUUUCGAGGAGGACGAGAUAAGGAAGUGAGAGAAGCUGUGAUUCCCUAAGUAGUGGCGAGCGAAAGGGGAACAGCCUAAAUCUAUAGCAUGAAAUCUUUCGUAAGAAGAGUCCUUGUGACUUUUUAGACGAUUGAUGAAAGGACAGGCCGUUGUGCUAUAGACGUUAUAGGAUACAGAGUCGACUACCUGCGAUGUCGGCCAAGAUGAUUAUAUAUAGUCGAAGACUCCUGGAAAGGAACUCCAAAGAGGGUGAUAGUCCCGUAGACGAAAUAUAUUUUCAUACUGGUUUUGUAUUCCUGAGUACGGCGGAACACGAGAAAUUCCGUCGGAAUUAGCCGCGACUAUGCGGUAAGGCUAAAUACUUUUGGUGAUCGAUAGUGAACUAGUACCACGAGGGAAAGGUGAAAAGUAGCCCGGAAGGGCGGUGAAAUAGAUCCUGAAACCGUACGCUUACAAUGAGUUGGAGCCCUCGUAAUUUAUUACGGUGGGUGACAGCGUUCCUAUUGAAGAAUGAGCCUGCGAGUUAUUUUAUGUGGCAAGCUUAAAGACUUUUGGUCUGAAGGCGUAGGGAAACCGAGUCUGAAUAGGGCGAAAUUAGUCGCAUGAAGUAGACCCGAAACCGGGCGGGCAAUCCAUGGCCAGGUUGAACUCUGAGUAAAAUCAGAGGGAGGACCGAACCGACGAGCUGUGCAACACUCGCGGAUGAGCUGUGGAUAGCGGAGAAAUUCUUAUCGAGCUCGGUAAUAGCUGGUUCUCCUCGAAAUAGCUUUAGGGCUAGCUGUAUGUGUUCCCUCUGGGGGUAGAGCACUGGAUGAGACUUGGGCGCUUCGGCGUACCGGUUUCAAUCAAACUCCGAAUACCAGAGGUUAAAAACAUGCAAGUCAGACUGUGGGGGCUAAGCUUCACAGUCAAAAGGGAAACAGCCCAGAUCGCCAAUUAAGGUCCCUAAAUUGAUACUAAGUGUAAAAGGCGGUGAAGAUUCACAUACAACCAGGAGGUUGGCUUAGAAGCAGCCAUCCUUUAAAGAUAGCGUAAUAGCUCACUGGUCAAGAGUCUUUGCGCCGAAAAUGUACCGGGGCUAAGUAUCAUACCGAAAUUGCGGACUAGACGGCGAUUCGUCGCUGUCUAUUGGUAGAGGAGCAUUCCUAUCUGCAGUGAAGCCCAUGAUGGGAGUCAGGGUGGAGCGAUGGGAAGCGAGAAUGCAGGCACAAGUAGCACAUACGCGGGUGAGAGUCCCGCGCGCCGAAAAUCCAAGGUUUCCAGGGCCACGAGAAUCGUCCCUGGGUUAGUCGAUCCCUAAGGUGAGGCCGAAAGGCGUAGCUGAUGGACCUGCGGGUUAAUAUUCCCGCACUUGGUAUAAUUUGUACUUAUGUGCGCAUUUCAAAUGUAUACGCGUUGUAUGGCUACACGUCCCGCAAGGGUGAGAUCGUGUCCUCGGACACGGUCAAGGUAUGCAAGAGAGGUGCCCAGAAAAGCAUAGGUGCGUUAGGUUAUAUCAAAUCGUACCGUAAACCGACACAGGUGGAUAGGUCGAGUAGACCAAGGCGAACGAGAGAAACAUAGUCAAGGAACUCGGCAAAACAGCGGCCGUAACUUCGGGAUAAGGCCUUCCCUUCGCAAGAAGGGAUCAACAAAAGACUCCAUGCAACUGUUUACCAAAAACACAGCUCCCUGCUAAAGCGCAAGCUGACGUAUAGGGGGCGAUGCCUGGCCAGUGUCAGAACGUUAAAGGGAGAGGUGAAACCUUCGGGUGUAGCUUUGAACUGAAGCGCUGAUGAACGCCGGCGGUAACUAUAACCGUCCUAAGGUAGCGAAAUUCCUUGUCGGGUGAGUUCCGACCCGCACGAAUGGCAUAAUGA